GUGAGGAAUAUUGGUCAAUGGACGAGAGUCUGAACCAGCCAAGUCGCGUGAAGGAAGACGGUUCUAUGAAUUGUAAACUUCUUUUGUGCAGGAAUAAAGUGGGUUACGUGUAACCUUUUGUAUGUACUGUACGAAUAAGGAUCGGCUAACUCCGUGCCAGCAGCCGCGGUAAUACGGAGGAUCCGAGCGUUAUCCGGAUUUAUUGGGUUUAAAGGGUGCGUAGGUGGAUUGAUAAGUCAGCGGUGAAAGUUUGCAGCUUAACUGUAAAAUUGCCGUUGAAACUGUCGGUCUUGAGUGCAAAUGAGGUAGGCGGAAUGUGUUGUGUAGCGGUGAAAUGCUUAGAUAUAACACAGAACUCCGAUUGCGAAGGCAGCUUACUGGGAUGCAACUGACACUGAUGCACGAAAGCGUGGGUAUCAAACAGGAUUAGAAACCCUGUAGUCC
RNAcentral lists this ribosomal RNA (444 nucleotides) under uncultured bacterium. RNAcentral's name for it is "partial 16S ribosomal RNA". It matches the Rfam family "Bacterial small subunit ribosomal RNA", at positions 354 to 796 of the family's 1533-position model. The record is from RNAcentral.